UACGGGGGGGGCAAGCGUUGUUCGGAAUUACUGGGCGUAAAGGGCUCGUAGGUGGCCAACUAAGUCAGACGUGAAAUCCCUCAGCUUAACUGGGGAACUGCGUCUGAUACUGGCGAGCUUGAGUGCAGGAGAGGAACGCGGAAUUCCAGGUGUAGCGGUGAAAUGCGUAGAUAUCUGGAGGAACACCGGUGGCGAAGGCGGCAUCCUGGACCGGUAUUGACGCUGAGGCGCGAAAGCUAGGGGAGCAAACGGG
RNAcentral lists this ribosomal RNA (253 nucleotides) under uncultured bacterium. Its description in RNAcentral is "partial 16S ribosomal RNA". It matches the Rfam family "Bacterial small subunit ribosomal RNA", at positions 524 to 776 of the family's 1533-position model. The record is from RNAcentral.